Molecule: ribosomal RNA, 253 nt
Filed under: uncultured bacterium
Lineage: Bacteria
Description: partial 16S ribosomal RNA
Rfam family: Bacterial small subunit ribosomal RNA
Source: RNAcentral
UACGUAGGGUGCGAGCGUUGUCCGGAAUUAUUGGGCGUAAAGGGCGUGUAGGCGGCUUCGUAAGUCUUGUGUGAAAGCCCUCGGCUCAACCGAGGAAUUGCACGAGAAACUGCGUGGCUCGAGUCCGGGAGAGGAUAGUGGAAUUCCCAGUGUAGCGGUGAAAUGCGUAGAUAUUGGGAGGAACACCGGUGGCGAAGGCGGCUAUCUGGACCGGUACUGACGCUGAUACGCGAAAGCCAGGGGAGCAAACGGG